This 72-nucleotide transfer RNA is filed under the name Camelus bactrianus (Bactrian camel). It matches the Rfam family "tRNA". Rfam says of the family: Transfer RNA (tRNA) molecules are approximately 80 nucleotides in length. Lineage: Eukaryota; Metazoa; Chordata; Mammalia; Artiodactyla; Camelidae. RNAcentral also lists the same sequence under 3 other names. The record is from Rfam by way of RNAcentral.
GGGAGUAUAGCUCAAUGGUAGAUCAUAUGCUUAGCAUGCAUGAGGUCCUCGGUUUGAUCCCCAGUACCUCCA